GGAUUGGAUGGGACACAGUCCCAGUCUGCUGUUUGGUUGAUCAUUUUGAGCUCGGGACAGAUGUAACCGAAACAGUAAAUUAAUCCCAAAUGAUCAGGACACAGCUGACCCGUCUCUCCCCCUACGUCAUUUUUGUCCCAAACUCAAAAAGCCCUUGUUCUCUCGCUUAUCGUUGCCUCGCGUGGAAGAUCAAAGGAAAAAUCACAGCUCGGUUGGCCAUCUACUAUAGUCGAUCUGGAGAAAGGGCUUCCAUUUGCAAGCAAAACCCCAAACUGUAAAGAACCCAGGCCAUCUUAUAGUCGGAUUCCAUUUGCAAGCAAAACCCCAAAUUGCAAAGAACCCAGGUAAGUUUCAUCUGUCUCUCCUCUCUGUUUUGUUGUCGUGGGAUCUGUCUCUCCUCUCCUC
Molecule: long non-coding RNA, 405 nt
Organism: Ziziphus jujuba (common jujube)
Lineage: Eukaryota; Viridiplantae; Streptophyta; Magnoliopsida; Rosales; Rhamnaceae
Exons: 3
Source: RefSeq, a predicted model, not a curated record